RNAcentral lists this ribosomal RNA (442 nucleotides) under uncultured bacterium. RNAcentral's name for it is "partial 16S ribosomal RNA". It matches the Rfam family "Bacterial small subunit ribosomal RNA", at positions 338 to 795 of the family's 1533-position model. The record is from RNAcentral.
CCUACGGGAGGCAGCAGUAGGGAAUUUUUCACAAUGGGCGAAAGCCUGAUGGAGCAACGCCGCGUGCAGGAUGAAGGCCUUCGGGUUGUAAACUGCUUUUAUAAGCGAGAAAUAUGAUGGUAACUUAUGAAUAAGGCUCGGCUACCUACGUGCCAGCAGCCGCGGCCAUACGUAGGAUCCGAGCAUUAUCCGGAGUGACUGGGUGUAAAGAGUUGCGUAGGUGGCAUAAUAAGUAGCUAGUGAAAUCUGGUGGCUCAACCAUUCAGACUAUUGGCUAAACUGUUAAGCUCGAGAGCGUUAGGGGUAACUGGAAUUUCUAGUGUAGGAGUGAAAUCCGUAGAUAUUAGAAAGAACACCAAUAGCGUAGGCAGGUUACUGGGACGGAUCUGACACUAAGGCACGAAAGCGUAGGGAGCAAACGGGAUUAGAUACCCUAGUAGUC